AAGCGGAGGAAAAGAAACUAACUAAGAUUGACAUAGUAAGGGCGACUGAAAUGUCACUAGCUCAGCAUGUGAAUCAGCGUUUGCUUUAGUGAGCGCUGAAUUGUGGUCUUACGGUUGUUGCGCCAAUUCGUCCAGACCAUGUUUUUUGGAAUAAAAUAGCACAGAGGGUGAAACUCCCGUUUGUCUGGUCACACGAAGCAAGAACCACUGAGUCGAGUUGUUUGGGAUUGCAGCUCAAAUGCGGUGGUAAAUUCCAUCUCAAGCUAAAUAUUGGUAGGAAACCGAUAGCGAACAAGUACCGUGAGGGAAAGAUGCAAAGAACUUUGAAAAGAGAGUGAAAGAGUACCUGAAAUUGCUGAAAAGGAAGCGAACGAAGCUAGUGAACGCUCUGUCAUACUUUCCAACUUGCUUGCAAGUCGGACGCUGUGGCGAGCCCAGUUCGAUUUGAUUGCUCCAUGUGAAAGCAGGCAAAGAAAAGACACCCAUUCUCUUUUGCCUUUGGCACGUGCUGUGAUCGAGUUGAACGAAAUAGGUUUGUUUGUCCCGUC
This 548-nucleotide ribosomal RNA is filed under the name Pinnularia borealis. RNAcentral's name for it is "eukaryotic LSU rRNA". It matches the Rfam family "Eukaryotic large subunit ribosomal RNA", at positions 48 to 653 of the family's 3401-position model. Lineage: Eukaryota; Bacillariophyta; Bacillariophyceae; Sellaphorales; Pinnulariaceae. The record is from RNAcentral.